Non-coding RNA from Rhodocollybia butyracea, 107 nucleotides. The record is from the annotation of a GenBank genome assembly. Lineage: Eukaryota; Fungi; Basidiomycota; Agaricomycetes; Agaricales; Omphalotaceae.
GGGCGUAUGGUCUAGAGGCAUGAUACCCGCUUUGGGUGAUGGUUCGUUGCGCAAAUUUCAAGCUAUUCUACUGCAGAGGGUCUUCGGUUCGAAUCCGGAUUCGCCCC